Molecule: ribosomal RNA, 432 nt
Filed under: uncultured bacterium
Lineage: Bacteria
Description: partial 16S ribosomal RNA
Rfam family: Bacterial small subunit ribosomal RNA
Source: RNAcentral
ACGAACGCUGGCGGCAUGCCUAACACAUGCCGGUCGCACGAAGGCUUCGGCCUUAGUGGCGCACGGGUGCGUAACGCGUGGGAAUCUGCCCUUUGGUUCGGAAUAACAGCUGGAAACGGCUGCUAAUACCGGAUGAUGACGAAAGUCCAAAGAUUUAUCGCCAGAGGAUGAGCCCGCGUUGGAUUAGGUAGUUGGUGGGGUAAAGGCCUACCAAGCCGACGAUCCAUAGCUGGUCUGAGAGGAUGAUCAGCCACACUGGGACUGAGACACGGCCCAGACUCCUACGGGAGGCAGCAGUGGGGAAUAUUGGACAAUGGGCGCAAGCCUGAUCCAGCAAUGCCGCGUGAGUGAUGAAGGCCCUAGGGUUGUAAAGCUCUUUUACCCGGGAAGAUAAUGACUGUACCGGGAGAAUAAGCCCCGGCUAACUCCGUG